Molecule: ribosomal RNA, 115 nt
Filed under: Alcis repandata (mottled beauty moth)
Lineage: Eukaryota; Metazoa; Arthropoda; Insecta; Lepidoptera; Geometridae
Description: partial 16S ribosomal RNA
Source: RNAcentral
UUUUAAAAUUUUAAAUAUUUUAGUACGAAAGGAUUGAAUAUUUUAAUUAGAUUAUAUUUAUAUUGAAUUUUAUUAAUUUUAAUUUUAAAAUUUAUUUGUAUUAUUAUAAUUUUUU